Long non-coding RNA from Pelobates fuscus (common spadefoot toad), 339 nucleotides. RefSeq lists it as uncharacterized. The transcript is spliced from 3 exons. The record is from RefSeq and is a predicted model, not a curated record. Lineage: Eukaryota; Metazoa; Chordata; Amphibia; Anura; Pelobatidae.
CACGUACCCUUUAUAAGGUCCCUGGCGGCGGCCUGUGUUCUCUUUCCUCCUGCGGCUGGGAUGGACUGUAAAAACAAAAAAGCUGACUGCAGUGAUUGGAGCUGCUCUGCAAGUAAUAAAGGAAGCUGGAGCUGACUCAAUGGUGCAGUUGAGUAUAAUACAGAAAGUUAUUCUUUCCCCUACUGUUCUGCAACUGGCAGUUUAAAUUGCAACGCCUGCUUUGUUAGAUGAACACUCAAAACACAACUGGUACAGCAGUAGUGGUUAUCGUGCUAUCCUAGAGUAAUCUCUCAAACGGUUUUAAAACUUCCUGAUUACUUCCUUUGGUCCCCCCAGAUG